Molecule: ribosomal RNA, 456 nt
Filed under: Triticum aestivum (bread wheat)
Lineage: Eukaryota; Viridiplantae; Streptophyta; Magnoliopsida; Poales; Poaceae
Description: partial small subunit ribosomal RNA
Source: RNAcentral
AUGCAUACAUUGUGCAUGAGUAGAGGGGGAAAGUUUAAGAGAGAUGACAAGAAAAAUAUUGCUGAUUUCUUUGGAGUGGGUGUCUGGAAUAUACAAAGGAUUUGGAAGAAAGCGAUGGAGCAAAUUGCUGAAGGUCUAGACGUAGAUGUUUCAAGUCAGAGGAAAGGAAAUUGUGGAAGAAAGCCGAAAGACAUCAAUCUAGAGCAAAUCCCUACCAUCCCACUAAACAGGAGGUCUACUAUCAGGUCACUUGCCUGGCAACUCGGGUGCAGCCCUACGGCACUCCACCGGAAGUUCAUGCUCAAGUUGAUAAAGAGGCAUACAAAUUGUUUGAAGCCAGCUCUAAAUGAAAAGAACAAGAAGGAUAGAAUGAAAUUUUGCUUGUCAAUGCUCGAUGAGACAACAACACAAAACGCCAAAAUUCAAGACCAUGCACAACAUUAUUCAUAUCGAUGA